UACGUAGGGUGCGAGCGUUGUCCGGAAUUAUUGGGCGUAAAGGGCUCGUAGGCGGUUUGUCGCGUCGGGAGUGAAGACCAUGGGCUUAACUCAUGGCUUGCUUUCGAUACGGGCAGACUAGAGGUAUGCAGGGGAGAACGGAAUUCCUGGUGUAGCGGUGAAAUGCGCAGAUAUCAGGAGGAACACCGGUGGCGAAGGCGGUUCUCUGGGCAUGACCUGACGCUGAGGAGCGAAAGCUAGGGGAGCAAACAGG
This 253-nucleotide ribosomal RNA is filed under the name uncultured bacterium. Its description in RNAcentral is "partial 16S ribosomal RNA". It matches the Rfam family "Bacterial small subunit ribosomal RNA", at positions 524 to 776 of the family's 1533-position model. The record is from RNAcentral.